GACGAACGCUGGCGGCGUGCUUAACACAUGCAAGUCGAACGGAAAGGCCCCUUUGGGGGUACUCGAGUGGCGCACGGGUGAGUAACACGUGAGUAACCUGCCCUUGACUUCGGGAUAACUUCAGGAAACUGGGGCUAAUACCGGAUAGGAAUCCUUGCUGCAUGGUGGGGGUUGGAAAGCUUCGGCGGUUUUGGAUGGACUCGCGGCUUAUCAGCUUGUUGGUGGGGUAGUGGCUUACCAAGGCUUUGACGGGUAGCCGGCCUGAGAGGGCGACCGGCCACAUUGGGACUGAGAUACGGCCCAGACUCCUACGGGAGGCAGCAGUGGGGAAUAUUGCACAAUGGGCGGAAGCCUGAUGCAGCAACGCCGCGUGCGGGAUGACGGCCUUCGGGUUGUAAACCGCAUUCAGCAGGGGCGAAGCUUGUGGUGACGGUACCUGCAGAAGAAGCACCGGCUAACUACGUG
RNAcentral lists this ribosomal RNA (465 nucleotides) under uncultured bacterium. Its description in RNAcentral is "partial 16S ribosomal RNA". It matches the Rfam family "Bacterial small subunit ribosomal RNA", at positions 28 to 507 of the family's 1533-position model. The record is from RNAcentral.